AUCCUCCUCAGCUGUAGCUACAUGGCCUUUGGCCUAAUGGCCAUCUACUCUGACAAACCCCAUACGUCGAAGGGAGUGGUCGUUGUAGGUGUCGGUGUUUGACAGUCUACAAACAAUCUCUCCCCCAAAACUCACUCCAGACUCUCUAAAAAUCACUGAAAGAGCCAUACCAUAUGGCAAGGGAGCCUUGGAUCUGUUCAAGGCUUCCCUCAUGGCAUCGAUCAUCAAGAAAGGCAAAUUCAGGAGAGUCUCGAAGACAACAUAGUGCAUCAAGCAAAUAUCCCUACUAGUCAUCAAAUCAUAUAUUCCCACUCUGGGGAAAAAAAUUCUAAACAUCAUGUGGUGGAGCAACCUCAUUUUCACACUUAGAUCUUUGGCUUCAAUUUUCAAAAAAUCUUUUACAUCUUCUCUUCCAAGGAUAG
This 422-nucleotide long non-coding RNA is filed under the name Elaeis guineensis (African oil palm). Its description in RNAcentral is "long non-coding RNA (EGUI_LNC048834)". The record is from RNAcentral. Lineage: Eukaryota; Viridiplantae; Streptophyta; Magnoliopsida; Arecales; Arecaceae.